AUUGAACGCUGGCGGCAUGCCUUACACAUGCAAGUCGAACGGUAACAGGUCUUCGGAUGCUGACGAGUGGCGAACGGGUGAGUAAUGCAUCGGAACGUGCCCAGUUGUGGGGGAUAACUGCUCGAAAGCGCAGCUAAUACCGCAUACGACCUGAGGGUGAAAGCGGGGGAUCGCAAGACCUCGCGCAAUUGGAGCGGCCGAUGUCAGAGUAGGUAGUUGGUGGGGGAAAGACCUACCAAGCCGCCAGUCUGUAGUUGGUCUGAGAGGACGACCAGCCACGCUGGGACUGAGACACGGCCCGGGGUCCUACGGGAGGCAGCAGUGAGGAAUUUUGGACAAUGGGCGCAAGCCUGGUCCAGCAAGGCCGCGUGCAGGAAGAGGGCGUUCGGGUUGUAAACUGCUUUUGUCAGGGAAGAAAUCCUCUGGGUUAAUACCCCGGGGGGAUGACGGUACCUGAAGAAUAAGCACCGGCUAACUACGUGCCAGCCGCCGCAGUAA
Molecule: ribosomal RNA, 498 nt
Filed under: uncultured bacterium
Lineage: Bacteria
Description: partial 16S ribosomal RNA
Rfam family: Bacterial small subunit ribosomal RNA
Source: RNAcentral